GGCCCUCUGGUAUAUAAUCCAGGGGCGGACUCGUGUUCAUCCUCUGGUUGAUGGCGCGCGGUCCUGGCUGGUUGGACGGAGACGCGAAGUUAAAUUACACUUCAAAUUCUUGCUUGGAAAGAACGGAAGGAGAGCCGAGGAUGUAUUUCCUUGGUGGAUCUGCUGAGUUGAAUCUGCAGAGGAAGACCCGGAGAUCCAGGUGUAGAGAUGGAUGAAAUCACACUGAAAUGGACACAGUGGUCACCUGAGGCUCCUCAGCUCUGAGGGAGCGGUUUGAUUCGCCUGAUUAGUCCUGGAGUCCUGCUGCGAGUGAAGUCUACAGCCAUGAGCUGAUGGCAUCCACACUAGGGGGGAUGGGAUGGGAUGGAGCCUGCUCUUCUAGCUUGUCCACACACUGACAGAGAGGAGUUGAUGUGACAGACCUGCAGCUGUAUGACUGGCAGCCCAGGCUGGAAGACAUUCAGAACACAGUAAAUGGACCAGGUGCUGCCACUUGUGAGCUGGGACUGCUCCAAGCUUCUACGGUGGACAAUAUCAAGUCAUCCAGGAAAUGGAAGCAUUCCUAAGUCAUAAGAUACAUUGCCACCAUUCAUUUGAAGGGGCCUUGAACUUCUUAGUCUUGUUUAUACAAAGCUUUUCUCCAGUGUUUAUAAUGGUUUGAAUGUACAGAUGUAAGGAAAUGUCAAAUAAAUGGCUGACACAGA
This is a long non-coding RNA of Seriola aureovittata, 704 nucleotides long. RefSeq lists it as uncharacterized. The record is from RefSeq and is a predicted model, not a curated record. The transcript has 7 exons. Lineage: Eukaryota; Metazoa; Chordata; Actinopteri; Carangiformes; Carangidae.